This 77-nucleotide transfer RNA is filed under the name Bacillota bacterium. RNAcentral describes it as "Firmicutes bacterium (sediment metagenome) tRNA-Pro". It matches the Rfam family "tRNA". From Rfam's summary of the family: Transfer RNA (tRNA) molecules are approximately 80 nucleotides in length. Their secondary structure includes four short double-helical elements and three loops (D, anti-codon, and T loops). Further hydrogen bonds mediate the characteristic L-shaped molecular structure. tRNAs have two regions of fundamental functional importance: the anti-codon, which is responsible for specific mRNA codon recognition, and the 3' end, to which the tRNAs corresponding amino acid is attached (by aminoacyl-tRNA synthetases). tRNAs cope with the degeneracy of the genetic code in two manners: having more than one tRNA (with a specific anti-codon) for a particular amino acid; and 'wobble' base-pairing, i.e. permitting non-standard base-pairing at the 3rd anti-codon position. RNAcentral also lists the same sequence under 3 other names. Lineage: Bacteria; Bacillati; Bacillota. The record is from RNAcentral.
CGGGGUGUGGCGCAGCCUGGGAGCGCGCCUGGUUUGGGACCAGGAGGUCGGCGGUUCGAAUCCGCCCGCCCCGACCA